ACGGGUGAGUAACGCGUGGGUAACCUACCCUGUACACACGGAUAACAUACCGAAAGGUAUGCUAAUACGGGAUAAUAUAUUUGAGAGGCAUCUCUUAAAUAUCAAAGGUGAGCCAGUACAGGAUGGACCCGCGUCUGAUUAGCUAGUUGGUAAGGUAACGGCUUACCAAGGCAACGAUCAGUAGCCGACCUGAGAGGGUGAUCGGCCACAUUGGAACCGAGACACGGUCCAAACUCCUACGGGAGGCAGCAGUGGGGAAUAUUGCACAAUGGGCGAAAGCCUGAUGCAGCAACGCCGCGUGAGUGAUGAAGGCCUUCGGGUCGUAAAACUCUGUCCUCAAGGAAGAUAAUGACGGUACUUGAGGAGGAAGCCCCGGCUAACUACGUGCCAGCAGCCGCGGUAAUACGUAGGGGGCUAGCGUUAUCCGGAUUUACUGGGCGUAAAGGGUGCGUAGGCGGUCUUUCAAGUCAGGAGUGAAAGGCUACGGCUCAACCGUAGUAAGCUCUUGAAACUGGGAGACUUGAGUGCAGGAGAGGAGAGUGGAAUUCCUAGUGUAGCGGUGAAAUGCGUAGAUAUUAGGAGGAACACCAGUUGCGAAGGCGGCUCUCUGGACUGUAACUGACGCUGAGGCACGAAAGCGUGGGGAGCAAACAGGAUUAGAUACCCUGGUAGUCCACGCUGUAAA
RNAcentral lists this ribosomal RNA (685 nucleotides) under uncultured bacterium. Its description in RNAcentral is "bacterial SSU rRNA". It matches the Rfam family "Bacterial small subunit ribosomal RNA", at positions 102 to 806 of the family's 1533-position model. The record is from RNAcentral.